CCUACUAGAACAAUAGGUGUAUAAACCUUUAUACUCGAUGCUUCCUCUCUUUUCGGAAUGAUGACAACGAAAGAGGCAUUGAGACUUUUUUCGAACUCCCCCGUACUCUAGAAAGCUGCAAUAGUUUCUAACACUACUAGAAAAAUACUAAGGUAAAAUCGUGUACGGUGAGGGAAAGGCAAGUAUUCAGAAGCAGGAAGCAUAGGAAAGAGCA
Molecule: long non-coding RNA, 214 nt
Filed under: Nicotiana benthamiana
Lineage: Eukaryota; Viridiplantae; Streptophyta; Magnoliopsida; Solanales; Solanaceae
Description: long non-coding RNA (NBEN_LNC004431)
Source: RNAcentral